Molecule: unclassified non-coding RNA, 400 nt
Filed under: soil metagenome
Description: partial contains 5.8S ribosomal RNA, internal transcribed spacer 2, and large subunit ribosomal RNA
Rfam family: 5.8S ribosomal RNA (bases 2-122)
Source: RNAcentral
UAUGAAGAACGUAGCGAAAUGCGAUACUUGGUGUGAAUUGCAGAAUCCCGUGAACCAUCGAGUCUUUGAACGCAAGUUGCGCCUCAAGCCAUUAGGUUGAGGGCACGUCUGCCUGGGCGUCACAUAUCGUUGCCUGAUGCCAGUUUCCUCGUGAUGGGUGACUGUGCAGGGCGAAUGAUGGCUUCCCGUGAGCAUUGUUGCCUCAUGGUUGGUUGAAAAUUGAGUCCUUGGUAGGGAGCGCCGUGAUAGAUGGUGGUUGAGUGACGAACGAGACCCAAUCAUGUGAGACCCCUACCGAAUUUGGCCUUCAUGACCCACAUGCGUCUUUGGAACGCUCAUGACGAGACCUCAGGUCAGGCGGGGCUACCCGCUGAGUUUAAGCAUAUCAAUAAGCGGAGGA